Molecule: ribosomal RNA, 638 nt
Filed under: uncultured bacterium
Lineage: Bacteria
Description: bacterial SSU rRNA
Rfam family: Bacterial small subunit ribosomal RNA
Source: RNAcentral
AACGGACCCUUCGGGGUUAGUGGCGGACGGGUGAGUAACACGUGGGAACGUGCCUUUAGGUUCGGAAUAGCUCCUGGAAACGGGUGGUAAUGCCGAAUGUGCCCUUCGGGGGAAAGAUUUAUCGCCUUUAGAGCGGCCCGCGUCUGAUUAGCUAGUUGGUGAGGUAACGGCUCACCAAGGCGACGAUCAGUAGCUGGUCUGAGAGGAUGACCAGCCACACUGGGACUGAGACACGGCCCAGACUCCUACGGGAGGCAGCAGUGGGGAAUCUUGCGCAAUGGGCGAAAGCCUGACGCAGCCAUGCCGCGUGAAUGAUGAAGGUCUUAGGAUUGUAAAAUUCUUUCACCGGGGACGAUAAUGACGGUACCCGGAGAAGAAGCCCCGGCUAACUUCGUGCCAGCAGCCGCGGUAAUACGAAGGGGGCUAGCGUUGCUCGGAAUUACUGGGCGUAAAGGGCGCGUAGGCGGAUCGUUAAGUCAGAGGUGAAAUCCCAGGGCUCAACCCUGGAACUGCCUUUGAUACUGGCGAUCUUGAGUAUGAGAGAGGUAUGUGGAACUCCGAGUGUAGAGGUGAAAUUCGUAGAUAUUCGGAAGAACACCAGUGGCGAAGGCGACAUACUGGCUCAUUACUGACGCUGA